CUGUGAAGCCGGCGCGUGAGCGAUCCGGUGGAGAGAUCACUAGCGAGAAUGAUGACAUGAGUAGCGACAAAGAGUGUGAGAGACACUCUCGCCGAAAGUCCAAGGGUUCCUGCUUAAAGCUAAUCUGAGCAGGGUAAGCCGGCCCCUAAGGCGAGGCAGAAAUGCGUAGCCGAUGGGAACCACGUUAAUAUUCGUGGGCCAGGAGGAUGUGACGGAUCAAGAGGGUAGUUCAUUCUUAUCGGAUUGAAUGGGCUGCUUAUUGGUCCCUGGAAAUAGCCCUCCAUCAGACCGUACCCUAAACCGACACAGGUGGACUGGUAGAGAAUACCAAGGCGCUUGAGAGAACGAUGUUGAAGGAACUCGGCAAAAUACCUCCGUAAGUUCGCGAGAAGGAGGCCCGGUUCCUAGGCAACUAGGGGCUGGGGGCACAAACCAGGGGGUGGCGACUGUUUACUAAAAACACAGGGCUCUGCGAAGUCGCAAGACGACGUAUAGGGUCUGACGCCUGCCCGGUGCCUGAAGGUUAAAAGGAGAGGUGAGAGCCUUGAAUUGAAGCCCAGGUAAACGGCGGCCGUAACUAUAACGGUCCUAAGGUAGCGAAAUUCCUUGUCGGGUAAGUUCCGACCUGCACGAAUGGCGUAACGACUUCCCCGCUGUCUCCAACAUCGACUCAGCGAAAUUGAAUUGCCUGUCAAGAUGCAGGCUUCCCGCGGUUAGACGGAAAGACCCCGUGCACCUUUACUACAGCUUCGCACUGGCAUCAGGACUGCAAUGUGCAGGAUAGGUGGUGGGCUUUGAAGCGCGAACGCCAGUUUGCGUGGAGCCUCCCUUGAGAUACCACCCUUUGCAUUCUUGAUGUCUAACCGCGGUCCGUUAUCCGGAUCCGGGACCCUGCGUGGCGGGUAGUUUGACUGGGGCGGUCGCCUCCUAAAGAGUAACGGAGGCGCGCGAUGGUUGGCUCAGACCGGUCGGAAAUCGGUCGUUGAGUGCAAUGGCAGAAGCCAGCCUGACUGCAAGUCUGACAAGACGAGCAGAGACGAAAGUCGGUCAUAGUGAUCCGGUGGUCCCGAGUGGAAGGGCCAUCGCUCAACGGAUAAAAGGUACGCCGGGGAUAACAGGCUGAUACUGCCCAAGAGUCCAUAUCGACGGCAGUGUUUGGCACCUCGAUGUCGGCUCAUCUCAUCCUGGGGCUGGAGCAGGUCCCAAGGGUACGGCUGUUCGCCGUUUAAAGAGGUACGUGAGCUGGGUUUAGAACGUCGUGAGACAGUUCGGUCCCUAUCUGCCGUGGGUGUAGGAUACUUGAGAGGAGUUGCCCCUAGUACGAGAGGACCGGGGUGAACGAUCCACUGGUGGACCUGUUGUUGCGCCAGCAGCAGUGCAGGGUAGCUAUGAUCGGACAGGAUAACCGCUGAAGGCAUCUAAGCGGGAAGCCCCCCUCAAAACAAGGUAUCCCUGAGGACCGUGGUAGACCACCACGUCGAUAGGCCGGAGAUGUAAGUGCAGUAAUGCAUUCAGUUGACCGGUACUAAUGGUCCGAUAGGCUUGAUUUGAUCC
Molecule: ribosomal RNA, 1554 nt
Filed under: uncultured Rhodobacterales bacterium HF4000_03E16
Lineage: Bacteria; Pseudomonadati; Pseudomonadota; Alphaproteobacteria; Rhodobacterales
Description: bacterial LSU rRNA
Rfam family: Bacterial large subunit ribosomal RNA
Source: RNAcentral